Molecule: long non-coding RNA, 5481 nt
Organism: Pseudopipra pipra
Lineage: Eukaryota; Metazoa; Chordata; Aves; Passeriformes; Pipridae
Exons: 3
Source: RefSeq, a predicted model, not a curated record
UGCAGGUAGCAUUGCAUUUGUUUAUUUAUUAUAUUUUAUUGCUGUUGUGUUGGUUGGACAAAAAGUGGUUUCAUGGCAGGAAGACAUGUGGCAAUUCCCAUGUUUUCAAAAGGGAGAUAAUUCCAUAUUUAGCUUUCUACUUCCUGUAAUGACAUCUCUCAUUCUCAACUGCAGACAGUUGUUUCAGAGAGGUGCUUUGAGAAGUCAGGUUCGUGUAGGCUGAAGAGAUUCCUGUCUCUGAACUGUCCCAUAAAGGGCUUUGAAAACAGAUGAGAAUCUUAAAAAUCAUGAAACAAAGGGGCUUAAGAAGAUACACGAUCUCUAGUCUAUAGUAUAAGAACUGUAUUUUCCAUGACUGAAGCUUUUGAAGUCUCUUUCCCUGAUUCACAUGAUCCUUGGAAGCUGCAAACACAUGACUAUACUGUGUCCAAGACAUGAUGCCAUUGUGACCAAGAGUGGGUGCUUCUUGACUAGGUUUGGUCAAGUCAGGCUGUUACUGCAGUGCUUUGUUCAAUUGGCUCCAGUCUUCACAUGUUGAUUUGAAAUAAAUUAAUUUGUCACAAGUGCUGGUGAGUCUAAGAUAACCUGCACCAUGCUGGUACAUUGGCCCCUGACUGAGUGUGCAGAUGACCUGAAAUAAAUUCUAAAAGUCCUGAGAGCUUCCAUAUUUUUAUCAGUUAUGGUAAUCAUGACCAGUUGAGCAUUCAUUCUAACAUUUUAGGACUCUCAGUCAUUAAGUGUUAUUUCUUCUGGUAAAACCACUGAAAAACAAAGACCAAAUUGUGAAGAUCUGCACUGCCUACUGUGAGUAGUCUAUAUUUUGCCAUGGACAGGCAUGAAUGGCUAUUUAGGAUUCCAGAGAAGCCUGAGACAGAACCAUACUAUAUUUUCCUCCACUAGCUCCCAGCUAACAAGUAACUUUAGGAAAGAAAAUGUCCUUGAUGUAUCAGUUUUUUGAAAUCAGCCAUCUUGCUCAGGACAGCUAAUUUCUCAAAACUCAGACACUUCUAUGAAAUAAAAUGCAAGGUAUUAUUUUUAAAUGAAGAAACAUUAUUUUCAUUUGCAUUUCUGCAGACAUAAAAUGGCUAAAGAAUUUUUCCUGAGAUUUAGAGAAGUUGCCUUUGGCCACGAAGUGUGAAUAGAGAGUUGUAACCCAAAGGUAAUAUUUUCAGCAGAAUCUUAUCAAGCAGGUGGCUGAAAUGAAAUUUUUUUCCUCAUCUUAUCUGUUAUCAAUGGAUGAUAGGUUUUCCUUUCAUCUUCUGUAUGAUACCUCCCUCAACUGCAUCCGAGUCCAUGGUUAAAUUCCUGAUUGCUAAUUAAUAUAAGUUAUUAUUUACUGUUAUUAUUAAGUAAGGGCAAGGCUGUCUUUAUCUGUCUGUAGGGUCUGCCCUUAUAUCUGCUCUGUGUAUUGCUACUACAGUGGAACUGAAUGUGCCUCAGCCUCAUGCAGAUGCACUGUGUCAGAAAACAUCUGCUAACUGCUGAUUUUAUGCAUAUUACAGAGACUUUAUGUACUGUUAAAUGGACCACUUUUUCAUUUCAAACCAUAAUUUUCCAUGUGGCAUCAUUUGAUCUGUCCUCACUCCAACAUUUGGUUUGAUCAACUCAUUUCUUUCUACCCAAUAUGUUUGUUGUAACUUCCUCUAUGGCUGUGUGUGUCCUCUCUGUGAAUGGAAAUUACUACAGUGCUCCUGUCAUAAUAAUAUGGUGGUAGGGCAAAACGUGUAGUUUUAAUCAAUAUAUUUUAUUUCCAUUAGCUUCUUUCAUCACCGAGCUUUAGUCUAGACAGCUUAGGUCUGGUAAUGCCAACUGCUACCCAGCUACAUACAUGAUCAAAUGCAGGUUUUCAGGAGUACCCAGGACACUUAACCGGGUACUUGGUUUAGAGUUUAAAUGCAGUUGAUGAGGAGAAGCUUGUCCUCCACACAGAACUUCACUGUGCCUGUACACUGAACUUCUGAAUGGAAGAGACAGAGGGGCAACUUAUUUGGGUCACUGCCCUUUGGGAACACAUCCAUUUGAGCCCUGCUGUUACCCUCCUGGCAGUCGAGCUGCCGGGGCGUGGCAGUAGAGGGUGCAGGAGACAGAAGUGGGAAAGGGUUAAAAAGGGGGCCAUUCCCUCUGGAGAUGGGGCAUGCUUUGCUACAAAUUGUUUUGCUUUGGUUUUCUUGUGACAUUUAACUUUAUAUCAGCUACCUGUCAUUCCCCCGUGGUUAAACUUGAAAUUACUGUGGAGAAAGUUACUUUGUAGAUCCAGGCUGUUCAUGACUGUUUUGCAUGGGCUGUGGAAUGACGAGCUUUUGUCUGCUCAUUCCUAGGAGUUCUUGAAACAAUAGGUCUCUUCUGUACCUGUUGAAUCAUAACUUGGGAUUAGUACAGCCCUAAUUACAACAGCGAAGACAGUACUUAUUUGGUAACCUUUGGUCAUGGUGACAUUUCUAGAGGCUACAAGGAAAAAGAUAUAAAGUUUGAAUAACACGUACCAAUAAUUUCUGAUAUGUGUAAGUAGCUGGAGGAGGGGCACAUACUGCUGGGGAAAUAUUUUUGCCAGAUAAAACAUCACAGUCUUUCUUGGCAAGCAUAGAACUCCACUGGUACAUUAAAAAAUAAUAACAGCCUCCCCCCUAAUAGAUUUUGCAUAUUUAGUGAUUCUGACAAAUUUGAAUAAAUGUGAUUUAUUGUUAUUAAUAAUAAUGCAUAUUUAGAUAGCUCUUGUAAUCUUCAAAGCACUUUAUAAAUACGAGUUUGUUAACUAGUCCUUGCAACAGCCUUGUGAGGUGCAGAAUUAUCCAAAUAUUAGAGGUAUAUGAUGGUGCACCAAUUUCCAGCAGUGCACCAAUUUCCAGCAACUUUUUAACAAUGCAUUGAAGUCUGAUAUAUGACCUGUAUCCUUAUAUUUCUGGAAUAUCACACAGUGACAUAUAUGUAUCUAAAAUAAGUGAUUCUUUCUAUGAAAACAAAGUAGACAUAUCACUUAUGUGUGUAUAAUUCUCUUCCAAUUCAUUUUCUCAAAAAUUAUAAUUUAGUUGUGCUUGAAGUAACAGUCAGGAAAGCCAGCAGUGAUGUUGGUGGGGAUACUGAGGUGCAAGACACUAAGCUCAUUUUUGUGGGUGAGGGAAAAAGGCUAGUUCCUAUCUCAGGUAUUUUGCAGUCCAAAAAUAUGAUAAGAGACAACAGAUGGAUACAACAAAGAGACAAGAGACAUCACGAGGUUACAGUAAGAGGAUUACAAUUACUAUAAGAAGUGGUGGUCAUAGCACACCAGCUGUUUAACCAUUCUCAGAUAAUUUUUUAGUCAUUGCAACAGUGAGAGUAAGAGUAUUAUUUGAAGGAAGAUGACAAAAUGACUAGGCAGACUUUUUUAAUGUUUCCACAUGCAGAUGUAAAGACAUAUGGAAAAUACCUUCUUAAGAAAAUGGGAUUUCACCUUUGGUAAAAACAAGGUGAGAGUUAAGGAUUCUGAUUUACUAUAUGAAAUCAUGAUGGAUGAGACAGGGAUAAGAGAUAAACUGAAGUGAAUUUGGGUCUGAAGUGAAAUGCAAGGUAAAGGCAUGCAGUGACAGGGAAGUGAGGUGACAAGAGUGAAGUGCCAACACAGAAGAUGACAGGUGUGUUUUGAUAGAGCUGUUUGGUAGAAGCUGUUGCAGUUCUGAGGCUGUUUCAAACUCUGUAAUGAAAGCCUUGUGUUUCUUGACUGUGCUACAGGAGGUUGUGAGGACAGUCUUCCUACACUAACUUUCUGUGGCCUCCAUGACCCGGACACCAGUACUGUGCUUUGCAGCUAUUUCAGUCCUGUGCAAGAGUGGCUUGCACUUUUGCUUGUUGUUCAGCUCAAACACUCCCUGUGUUUGCAUAUGUGCCUUAAGACUCAGUUGAAACACAGGGAAGGAGUGAAGAUUUACAUACCACAUUAAUCUCUGAUCAAUGUGGUCUCCAUUCUUCACUGCUCAUGGUAAAGCCCUCUCCACGCAUCACUCCCGAGGCUACAGAUUCUUUACCAUAUUGCCAUACCAGCCCUUUCAGACAGCCUGGUAUGAUAGUUGCACAUAUCCCCACUGCAUACCAAGGUGUAAUGUAAACAUAUACAAACCAUUUUAAACAGGAAACAGCGUUGUUGUGGUAGCACUGAGGUCUGUGCAAAUUAAUCUGUCCUUUGAAAAAGGCAGUAACCCUAAUUUGCGUAUUAUUUCCAGUGUAAGCAUUUGGGUUUUGAUCAAGCAAUUAAUGUACUUGAUGGGAGUCUUUCGCAUUGCCUGCAGUGGGCUUUGGAUUGGAACCAUAAUCCGGAUGUCUCACAUGCAUAUACAUCCUUAAUUAAAAUUUUCUAAAUUACUGUUACAUAAUGAGUAUCCCAAACCUCCUGUGAAGCAUUUCCAGUUAAGCCAGUGAAAAAAAAUGCACUCGGUGUCUUGCCAUCACAGUUAACAUGAAGUAGAGCAAUUCUCUGUACUGAGUAUUAAGACAGGUGAAUUAUUGGUUCACUGAGAACACUAAGUGAAUGUCCUGACUUUUGCAUGCUUGCAAUUUAUAAACAAAGCUGCUUUACUGUAAUUUUGCUGCGUUACACACAUACAUAUAUAUAUAAAUAUGCACACUCUCAGAAAGUUAUGAUCAGCUUUAAAAACAGGCUUAGAAUGAAAAUAAUAAAUCAACCUUAAAUGCAGCAACUGCUUCUACUAUAACUAUAUUCAUUCAGUUUGCCAGGCAUAUUUUAAAAAAUAUAAUAGAUUGCUACACCUUUUUACCACGAAGAGAUGCAUCCUGUGGCAGCUGUCCAUCAUUAGGCACAGAAUCAUUUUAGACUUACCUAUAUGAAAAAACUGAAGCAGACCUCAAUCAUACCCCCUCAGUAGUGCAGUGAAAGCAGUCUUUCAAAUUUUAACUCUUUUUUUUUUUUUUUUUUUUAGCAGGAAAUACCAGUCUGGUCUCAUAGAGAGUGCUCUGACUUGGAUUCAUAUGACCUGCUUUCUAUUCCUGGCUCUGGCUCUGAGUGACCUUAUGAAAGUUAUUUUUAUCUACUAUUGUUUUUAAAUGUGCAGAAAGAGGUUUCCUAGCAGAGUGGGCCAAACAUAUCCCACCUCAAAAACUUAUCCAUGAAGAAGCUACACACCUGUACACGUACAAAUGCCAGUCAAGUGUUUGCCUCAAAUAAGCUGUUCUGCCUUUCUCCCUUGAAGUAUGGAAGAAUCCAGAGCUGUCUAUAAAUCACCUACCCAGUGCCCUGCCAAGCUUCUACAGUGGCAGGAAAGGUAGCAAUAAAACAAGAAGUUGGAACUGAGUUCUUGAUAUUAAGAAAAGAUCUGAUUACUGUCUGAGACUAACUCUGGGCUUGGGCUGCCUCCACCUCUUCUGCUGCAGUAGUAAUGCAUGCUCCCUUGAGAGGACAGAUUUAGUCACUGAGCGCAGCCUCUUCUUCAGAAGAAGAAAAUGUAAAGAGACAGCAGUUUCUAGCAAUAAAAUAAAAACUAAACCAACAUAAAA